CCUACGGGAGGCAGCAGUGAGGAAUAUUGGUCAAUGGGCGCUAGCCUGAACCAGCCAAGUAGCGUGAAGGAUGACUGCCCUAUGGGUUGUAAACUUCUUUUAUAUGGGAAUAAAGUGCAGCAUGUAUACUGCUUUGCAUGUACCUUAUGAAUAAGGAUCGGCUAACUCCGUGCCAGCAGCCGCGGUAAUACGGAGGAUCCGAGCGUUAUCCGGAUUUAUUGGGUUUAAAGGGAGCGUAGGCGGUUUGUUAAGUCAGUUGUGAAAGUUUGCGGCUCAACCGUAAAAUUGCAGUUGAUACUGGCAGCCUUGAGUACAGUAGAGGUAGGCGGAAUGCGUGGUGUAGCGGUGAAAUGCUUAGAUAUCACGAAGAACUCCGAUUGCGAAGGCAGCCUGCUGGACUGUAACUGACGCUGAUGCUCGAAAGUGUGGGUAUCAAACAGGAUUAGAUACCCCGGUAGUC
RNAcentral lists this ribosomal RNA (460 nucleotides) under uncultured bacterium. Its description in RNAcentral is "partial 16S ribosomal RNA". It matches the Rfam family "Bacterial small subunit ribosomal RNA", at positions 338 to 795 of the family's 1533-position model. The record is from RNAcentral.